UCCUACGGGAGGCAGCAGUGAGGAAUAUUGGUCAAUGGGCGAGAGCCUGAACCAGCCAAGUCGCGUGAAGGAAGACUGUCCUAAGGAUUGUAAACUCCUUUUAUACGGGAAUAACGGGCGAUACGUGUAUUGCUAUGAAUGUACCGUAAGAAUAAGCAUCGGCUAACUCCGUGCCAGCAGCCGCGGUAAU
Molecule: ribosomal RNA, 190 nt
Filed under: uncultured Neisseria sp.
Lineage: Bacteria; Pseudomonadati; Pseudomonadota; Betaproteobacteria; Neisseriales; Neisseriaceae
Description: partial 16S ribosomal RNA
Rfam family: Bacterial small subunit ribosomal RNA
Source: RNAcentral